UACGGGGGGGGCAAGCGUUGUUCGGAAUUACUGGGCGUAAAGGGCUCGUAGGCGGCCAACUAAGUCGGACGUUAAAUCCCUCGGCUUAACCGGGGAACUGCGUCCGAUACUGGAUGGCUUGAGUUCGGGAGAGGGAUGCGGAAUUCCAGGUGUAGCGGUGAAAUGCGUAGAUAUCUGGAGGAACACCGGUGGCGAAGGCGGCAUCCUGGACCGACACUGACGCUGAGGAGCGAAAGCCAGGGGAGCAAACGGG
Molecule: ribosomal RNA, 253 nt
Filed under: uncultured bacterium
Lineage: Bacteria
Description: partial 16S ribosomal RNA
Rfam family: Bacterial small subunit ribosomal RNA
Source: RNAcentral